UACGGGGGGAGCAAGCGUUGUUCGGAUUUACUGGGUGUAAAGGGCGCGUAGGCGGCCAGCACAAGUCAGUUGUGAAAUCUCCGAGCUUAACUCGGAAAGGUCAACUGAUACUGUGCGGCUAGAGUGCGGAAGGGGCAACUGGAAUUCUUGGUGUAGCGGUGAAAUGCGUAGAUAUCAAGAGGAACACCUGCGGCGAAGGCGGGUUGCUGGGCCGACACUGACGCUGAGGCGCGAAAGCCAGGGGAGCGAACAGG
This 254-nucleotide ribosomal RNA is filed under the name uncultured bacterium. Its description in RNAcentral is "partial 16S ribosomal RNA". It matches the Rfam family "Bacterial small subunit ribosomal RNA", at positions 524 to 776 of the family's 1533-position model. The record is from RNAcentral.